This is a small nuclear RNA of Tachyglossus aculeatus (Australian echidna), 162 nucleotides long. RefSeq annotates it as U1 spliceosomal RNA. NCBI's taxonomy places the organism in Eukaryota, Metazoa, Chordata, Mammalia, Monotremata, Tachyglossidae. The transcript has a single exon. The record is from RefSeq and is a predicted model, not a curated record.
AUACUUACCUAGCCGGGUGACACCAGGAUCACAUAGGUGGUUUUCCCAGGGUGAGGCAAAUCCAUUGCACUCCGGAUGUGCUAACCCCUAUGAUUUUCCCAAAUGUGGGAAACUUGACUGCAGAAUUUGUGGCAGUGGGGAACUGCGUUGGUGCUUUCUAGA